CCGCGUGAGUGAUGAAGGUUUUCGGAUCGUAAAGCUCUGUUGUUAGGGAAGAACAAGUGCCGUUCAAAUAGGGCGGCACCUUGACGGUACCUAACCAGAAAGCCACGGCUAACUACGUGCCAGCAGCCGCGGUAAUACGUAGGUGGCAAGCGUUGUCCGGAAUUAUUGGGCGUAAAGGGCUCGCAGGCGGUUUCUUAAGUCUGAUGUGAAAGCCCCCGGCUCAACCGGGGAGGGUCAUUGGAAACUGGGGAACUUGAGUGCAGAAGAGGAGAGUGGAAUUCCACGUGUAGCGGUGAAAUGCGUAGAGAUGUGGAGGAACACCAGUGGCGAAGGCGACUCUCUGGUCUGUAACUGACGCUGAGGAGCGAAAGCGUGGGGAGCGAACAGGAUUAGAUACCCUGGUAGUCCACGCCGUAAACGAUGAGUGCUAAGUGUUAGGGGGUUUCCGCCCCUUAGUGCUGCAGCUAACGC
RNAcentral lists this ribosomal RNA (471 nucleotides) under bacterium. RNAcentral describes it as "bacterial SSU rRNA". It matches the Rfam family "Bacterial small subunit ribosomal RNA", at positions 397 to 858 of the family's 1533-position model. The record is from RNAcentral.